GAAAGCCUUAGUCACAGCAGGCAAUGCAAUAGAGACGGGGCUGGACGACCGGCUUUUGGCAACGUUUCAGCGAAUUAUCCUGUUGAUGCAAACAACCAGGUGAAGUUUUCGGGCAAGGCGUUUGUUUUGCCAUUUUCGUGGAAACCAGGUGAAAUAAUAUUCGACGAAAAUGAUCGAGACAAGAUAUGAUCCAAUCCACGGGUACGAUUACACGUAUUGGCCCGACUCCAAAUACUUUAGGAAUUACAAAUUUUCGCCACCCGUUACCAUAUUGGACGAUUGGUCGUACAGAUCGAGGGUCUGGUUUCCAUAUUAUUGGUCAACUCGUCGUCUGUUUCAGCACUAUUUGGAUUACAAACCCUCGGAAGUGUCGCUCAGAGAUGUCCGACUGCGGAACAAUCUUUACUUUUAAAACGGACGUUUAAAUUUGAAACAACGGACUUGUCGCCUCGGCGCUUGUAUUUUGGUGAAAUAAACAUAUCGAUGUAACCUGUCUCGACUACCUGUAAAUAGACGUGUCUCAAUAAACCAAA
Long non-coding RNA from Cylas formicarius (sweet potato weevil), 533 nucleotides. RefSeq lists it as uncharacterized. The record is from RefSeq and is a predicted model, not a curated record. Lineage: Eukaryota; Metazoa; Arthropoda; Insecta; Coleoptera; Brentidae. The transcript is spliced from 3 exons.